UGUUGGUAAGGUAAUGGCUUACCAAGGCGACGAUCAGUAUCUGGUUUGAGAGGAUGAUCAGACACACUGGAACUGAGACACGGUCCAGACUCCUACGGGAGGCAGCAGUGGGGAAUUUUCCGCAAUGGGCGAAAGCCUGACGGAGCAAUCUCGCGUGAGGGAUGACGGCCUAUGGGUUGUAAACCUCUUUUUUCAGGGAGGAACAAAAUGACGUGUACCUGAAGAAUAAGCAUCGGCUAACUCCGUGCCAGCAGCCGCGGUAAGACGGAGGAUGCAAGUGUUAUCCGGAAUCACUGGGCGUAAAGCGUCUGUAGGUGGUUUAGUAAGCCAACUGUUAAAUCUUGAAGCUUAACUUCAAAAUCGCAGUCGAAACUACUAGACUAGAGUAUAGUAGGGGUAAAGGGAAUUUCCAGUGGAGCGGUGAAAUGCGUAGAUAUUGGAAAGAACACCGAUGGCGAAGGCACUUUACUGGGCUAUUACUGACACUCAGAGACGAAAGCUAGGGUAGCAAAUGGGAUUAGAUACCCCAGUAGUCCUAGCCGUAAACAAUGGAUACUAGAUGUUGAACAGAUCGACCUGUGCAGUAUUAAAGCUAACGCGUUAAGUAUCCCGCCUGGGAAGUAUGCUCGCAAGAGUG
This 637-nucleotide ribosomal RNA is filed under the name uncultured bacterium. RNAcentral's name for it is "bacterial SSU rRNA". It matches the Rfam family "Bacterial small subunit ribosomal RNA", at positions 247 to 896 of the family's 1533-position model. The record is from RNAcentral.